GAUCCUGGCUCAGGAUGAACGCUGGCGGCGUGCUUAACACAUGCAAGUCGAGCGAAGCAAUUUAAGUGAAGUUUUCGGAUGGAUCUUAGAUUGACUGAGCGGCGGACGGGUGAAGUAACGCGUGGAUAACCUGCCUCACACAGGGGGAUAACAGUUAGAAAUGACUGCUAAUACCGCAUAAGCGCACGGUACCGCAUGGUGCAGUGUGAAAAACUCCGGUGGU
This 223-nucleotide ribosomal RNA is filed under the name uncultured bacterium. Its description in RNAcentral is "partial 16S ribosomal RNA". It matches the Rfam family "Bacterial small subunit ribosomal RNA", at positions 15 to 219 of the family's 1533-position model. The record is from RNAcentral.